This 1353-nucleotide ribosomal RNA is filed under the name uncultured bacterium. RNAcentral's name for it is "bacterial SSU rRNA". It matches the Rfam family "Bacterial small subunit ribosomal RNA", at positions 1 to 1360 of the family's 1533-position model. The record is from RNAcentral.
GAAUUCGCCCUUAGAGUUUGAUCCUGGCUCAGGAUGAACGUUGGCGGUGUGCUUAAUACAUGCAAGUCGAACGGUGACGAUUUUGUAGCAAUACGAAUGAAAUCAUAGUGGCGAACGGGUGAGUAACGCGUUGGUGAUCUGCCUCGAAGUGUGGAAUAACUUCCCGAAAGGGUAGCUAAUACCGCAUAGUCUCUCAAGGUUUAGAAAAUUGAGAGUAAAGGAUUUAUUCGCUUCGAGAGGAGCCUGCGUCCCAUCAGCUAGUUGGUAGGGUAAUAGCCUACCAAGGCAAUGACGGGUAGGGGACCUGAGAGGGUGGCCCCCCACAAUGGAACUGAAACACGGUCCAUACACCUACGGGUGGCAGCAGUAGGGAAUAUUAGAAAUGGGCGAAAGCCUGAUCUAGCAACACCGCGUGUGCGAUGAAGGCCUUCGGGUUGUAAAGCACUUUUUGGAGGGAAUAGGAAGGAAGGUACCUCCAGAAUAAGUCUCGGCUAACUACGUGCCAGCAGCCGCGGUAACACGUAGGAGGCAAACGUUAUCCGGAUUCACUGGGCGUAAAGCGCGUGUAGGUGGUUCUGUAAGUAGGGCGUGAAAGCUCCCGGCUCAACUGGGAGAGGCCGUACUAAACUGCAGAGCUAGAGGAUGGUAGAGGGAGGUGGAAUUCCUGGUGGAGCGGUAAAAUGCGCAGAGAUCAGGAGGAACACCGGUGGCGAAGGCGACUUUCUGGCUGACAACUGACGCUGAGGCGCGAAAGCGUGGGGAGCAAACAGAAGUAGAUACCCUGGUAGUCCACGCCGUAAACGAUGAUUACUGGGUGUAGGGGGUAUCGACUCCCUCUGUGCCGAAGCUAACGCGAUAAGUAAUCCACCUGGGGAAUACGGCCGCAAGGCUAAAACUCAAAGGAAUUGACGGGGGCCCGCACAAGCAGUGGAGUAUGUGGUUUAAUUCGAGGCAACGCGAAGAACCUUACCAGGGUUUGACAUCCCGCGCAAUGGGUAGAGAUACCCGGUUCCCUUCGGGGACGCGGAGACAGGUGGUGCAUGGUUGUCGUCAGCUCGUGUCGUGAGAUGUUCGGUUAAGUCCGGCAACGAGCGCAACCCUCGUGGCCAGUUGCCAUCAUUUAGUUGGGCACUUUGGCCAGACUGCCGUUGACAAAACGGAGGAAGGUGGGGAGGACGUCAAAUCAUCAUGCCCCUUAUGUCUUGGGGUACACACGUACUACAAUGGGCGGUACAACGGGCAGCCACACCGCGAGGUGGAGCGAAUCCCCAAAGGCGUCCCCAGUUCGGAUUGCAGGCUGAAACUCGCCUGCAUGAAGCCGGAAUUGCUAGUAAUGGCAGGUCAGCAUACUGC